Molecule: transfer RNA, 72 nt
Filed under: Halobacteriovorax sp.
Lineage: Bacteria; Pseudomonadati; Bdellovibrionota; Bacteriovoracia; Bacteriovoracales; Halobacteriovoraceae
Description: tRNA-Gln
Rfam family: tRNA
About the family: Transfer RNA (tRNA) molecules are approximately 80 nucleotides in length. Their secondary structure includes four short double-helical elements and three loops (D, anti-codon, and T loops).
Source: RNAcentral
UGGGGUAUAGCCAAGUGGUAAGGCAACGGUUUUUGAUAUCGUCAUUCGAAGGUUCGAAUCCUUCUGCCCCAA